Molecule: ribosomal RNA, 363 nt
Filed under: Apicomplexa sp.
Lineage: Eukaryota; Apicomplexa
Description: partial small subunit ribosomal RNA
Rfam family: Eukaryotic small subunit ribosomal RNA
Source: RNAcentral
AUUCCAGCUCCAAUAGCGUAUAUUAAAGUUGUUGCAGUUAAAACGCUCGUAGUUGAACAUCUGUCGAUAUUUGGUUUGGUCCGCUUCGGCGUGAACUUUCCGAUUUCGGCAUCCGUCUGCGUUGCUCACGCAGUGCAGACCGUUCACUUUGAGGAAAUUAGAGUGUUCAAAGCAGGCUUACGCCUUGAAUACUUCAGCAUGGAAUGAUCGAUAGGACUUCUGUUCUAUCCGUUGGUUCUAGGGACAGAAGUAAUGGUAAACAGGGUCGGUUGGGGGCAUUCGUAUUGAACAGUCAGAGGUGAAAUUCUUAGAUUUGUUCAAGACGAACAACUGCGAAAGCAUUUGCCAAGGACGACCUCAUUA